RNAcentral lists this ribosomal RNA (406 nucleotides) under uncultured bacterium. RNAcentral describes it as "partial 16S ribosomal RNA". It matches the Rfam family "Bacterial small subunit ribosomal RNA", at positions 30 to 526 of the family's 1533-position model. The record is from RNAcentral.
AUUGAACGCUGGCGGCAGGCUUAACACAUGCAAGUCGAACGAGUGGCGGACGGGUGAGUAAUGUCUGGGAAACUAGCUUAUGGAGGGGGAUAACUACGGGAAACUGUAGCUAAUACCGCGUACCAUAGGAUGAGCCCAAGUGGGAUUAGGUAGUUGGUGGGGUAAUGGCUCACCAAGGCGACGAUCCCUAGCUGGUCUGAGAGGAUGACCAGCCACACUGGAACUGAGACACGGCCCAGACUCCUACGGGAGGCAGAAGUGGGGAAUUUUGGACAAUGGGGGAAACCCUGAUCCAGCCAUCCCGCGUGUGCGAUGAAGGCCUUCGGGUUGUAAAGCACUUUUAGCGAGGAGGCGGUACCUGCAGAAGAAGCACCGGCUAACUACGUGCCAGCAGCCGCGGUAAUAC